Molecule: non-coding RNA, 1441 nt
Organism: Lolium perenne
Lineage: Eukaryota; Viridiplantae; Streptophyta; Magnoliopsida; Poales; Poaceae
Source: RefSeq, a predicted model, not a curated record
UUUGUUUAUUUUGCAACAUCUCUUGUUACACUGGUAGAAUUAUUAUCCAGUACAAGCCGCAUGGAACAUCAGGGUGGGUUUGGAUCUAAUUUUCGGAUAGCAAUGUCCAACUAUAUUUAAGAUCUCCUACCAUUUUUAACCGUCUUUUCUUCUGUGUUUACUAAAAUGCAUUGCAGUCAAGCUGAAGCUGUUUCGCUUCAGAAGAUAUCUUCUGUCAGCUACAAAGUACUCCAAGAGUAGGUUUUCCUUUGCCCUAUUUAACUUUUGUACUCCAAGAGUAGAAGUCGAUGAUUGCUGUUUUCCAUAUGUAUUAGCCCAUGCGUGGAAUAAAAUGACCUAACCCCGGUCACUGGUGCAAACGAUAUAACACUGACAAACUUCCUCAUGAAUUAUGGAUUUUCUUGGUUGGGCACUUGGCAAGACCAGUACGAUCUGCUCCCCAAACUGAUCACCAACCUAUAGGUUGCUUAAAUGUGAUUUAGGGUCCGUUUGGUUUAUGCCCCAACGAGCCGUACCAAAUUGUGGGUGUGACCAAUUUUUUGGCGCACCUUUCCUCCGCCCUCGAUCCGCUCACAUAUUGGCGAGAAAAUGAACUGCGCGCGUGCUGGCUCGGUUGGGCUAGCCAAUUUCGGGGCCUCAAACCAAACCACAACCAAACAGCACCAAUGCGACAAUAUUUUGGUGGGGCUAACUUUGGCUCACAACCAAACAUGCCCUUAGUUGAGAUCAACUAUGAUGUUGUUUAUACUUGAUAUAUCAGAACUGCAGCAUGCAUCUGCUAACGAUUAUUAGAUCAGAACUGCAGCAUGCAUCUGCUAAUGAUUAUAAUAUCCCACUUUAGUUAUUGAUGUCAUUUCCAGAAAGAAGAACCCGACAACUUGAAAAUCAAUCGUGAUGGUUUCUUUCAUGAGGAGAGUUGCAGUUUAUGCAGCUUGUGUUCUUUUCAGACAAGCCAAUUAGAGUGCUAGAGGCACUUUUUAAUGUGUUCCAGCUCUUUUGAAGUUACAAGGAUGGGUUGAUACUAUGAAUUGUUUGGGUCGACAUGGUCUUUCAUCGCCAUAAGCCACAAACAAACUCAUAUUUAUAACAGGCUGAGUUGUUUUCAUUUUGGUUUUUAGAUAAUUUAGGAACAAAUUUUAUUUGAAAUUGUAAAUGAUUUUGCCUAUGCCACUGUAUUAGGAACGGCCGGAGAAGACAGAAACUUGCUUGACUGCUUACCCCUUGGAUUUGUUUGUUACCCAUUUGAGUUGCUAGCAUUUAUGGUGAGUAUUGAGCAAGUUUCUUGCCUGGUGACACGAUUGUUUGAGAGAAGACACAAGAUUUGAGUAUUCAAAGCUUUCACGAUCUGGUCAUCCUUGUAAGAAACAAUUUGUUAAAUCAGAGCAUGAUUAUUCCAAUAAGUUAGGUUUAUGCAUAAACAUGUUGUGAAAUUAUUGUUGUA